CCCUUAGAUGUUCUGGGCCGCACGCGCGCUACACUGACGAAUUCAACGAGCUUAUAACCUUGGCCGAAAGGUCUAGGUAAUCUCCAAAAUUCGUCGUGAUGGGGAUAGAUUAUUGCAAUUAUUAAUCUUCAACGAGGAAUGCCUAGUAAGCGCAAGUCAUCAGCUUGCGUUGAUUACGUCCCUGCCCUUUGUACACACCGCCCGUCGCACCUACCGAUUGAAUGGUCCGGUGAAGCCUCCGGAUUGGCGCGCACCUCGGUGCCGCCGAGAAGUUGGCUAAACCUUACCAUUUAGAGGAAGGUGAAGUCGUAACA
RNAcentral lists this ribosomal RNA (314 nucleotides) under uncultured eukaryote. RNAcentral describes it as "partial 18S ribosomal RNA". It matches the Rfam family "Eukaryotic small subunit ribosomal RNA", at positions 1470 to 1796 of the family's 1831-position model. The record is from RNAcentral.